GGGACCGUCAGGAGCUUGGUUUUAUGUUGGUGUCGAAGCCUGGUGACGCCACUAACGUCACUUAUCUUAAUUAAGCAAUUAUACUUUCUGGGCACAUAGGGCAGCAUCAUAUCGGCUAUAAAAGAGCAUGGCAUCUGCUAGCUGAGAGCCCGGGAGUAGAGCAGCGACACACUGAGAUGGUUGCACAUAGUAUGGAACAGACAUCAAUUAAGGCUGUCACUGAAAU
Molecule: non-coding RNA, 226 nt
Organism: Pelobates cultripes (western spadefoot toad)
Lineage: Eukaryota; Metazoa; Chordata; Amphibia; Anura; Pelobatidae
Source: the annotation of a GenBank genome assembly